CCUACGGGAGGCAGCAGUGGGGAAUAUUGCACAAUGGGGGAAACCCUGUGGAAGCAACGCCCCAUGAGCGAGGAGGGCCUUCGGGCGUUAAGGCCCUGUCCUAAGGGAAGAAAAAUGCCGGUACCUUGGGAGGAAGCCCCGGGUACCUCCGUGCCAGCAGCCGCGGUAAUACGUAGGGGGCGAGCGUUAUCCGGAAUCACUGGGGGUAAAGGGUGCGUAGGCGGCCAAUUAAGCCAGGGGUGAAAGGCUACGGCUCAACCGUAGUAAGCCCUUGGAACUGAAUGGCUUGAGUGCAGGAGAGGAGAGUGGAAUUCCUAGUGUAGCGGUGAAAUGCGUAGAUAUUAGGAGGAACACCAGAGGCGAAGGCAACUCUCUGGACUGUAACUGACGCUGAGGCACGAAAGCGUGGGGAGCAAACAGGAUUAGAUACCCCAGUAGUC
This 440-nucleotide ribosomal RNA is filed under the name uncultured bacterium. Its description in RNAcentral is "bacterial SSU rRNA". It matches the Rfam family "Bacterial small subunit ribosomal RNA", at positions 338 to 795 of the family's 1533-position model. The record is from RNAcentral.